AGUUCAUCAGGGUAUUAAAUUAUGUUGAAACAUUAGUUGUGGUAAUGACAGUCAUGAAUGUAUGAGAGUUCAUCAGGGUAUUAAAUUAUGUUGAAACAUUAGUUGUGAUAAUGACAGUCAUGAAUGUAUGAGAGUUCAUCAGGGUAUUAAAUUAUGUUGAAACAUUAGUUGUGGUAAUGACAGUCAUGAAUGUAUGAGAGUUCAUCAGGG
This 210-nucleotide long non-coding RNA is filed under the name Mytilus galloprovincialis (Mediterranean mussel). Lineage: Eukaryota; Metazoa; Mollusca; Bivalvia; Mytilida; Mytilidae. The record is from RNAcentral.